UGGGGAAUAUUGGACAAUGGGCGCAAGCCUGAUCCAGCCAUGCCGCGUGAGUGAUGAAGGCCUUAGGGUUGUAAAGCUCUUUCACCGGAGAAGAUAAUGACGGUAUCCGGAGAAGAAGCCCCGGCUAACUUCGUGCCAGCAGCCGCGGUAAUACGAAGGGGGCUAGCGUUGUUCGGAAUUACUGGGCGUAAAGCGCACGUAGGCGGGCAUUUAAGUCAGGGGUGAAAUCCCAGAGCUCAACUCUGGAACUGCCUUUGAUACUGGGUGUCUUGAGUAUGGAAGAGGUGAGUGGAAUUCCGAGUGUAGAGGUGAAAUUCGUAGAUAUUCGGAGGAACACCAGUGGCGAAGGCGGCUCACUGGUCCAUUACUGACGCUGAGGUGCGAAAGCGUGGGGAGCAAACAGG
This 404-nucleotide ribosomal RNA is filed under the name uncultured prokaryote. RNAcentral's name for it is "bacterial SSU rRNA". It matches the Rfam family "Bacterial small subunit ribosomal RNA", at positions 355 to 776 of the family's 1533-position model. RNAcentral also lists the same sequence under 1 other name. The record is from RNAcentral.